CGUUCGGACGGGUUUCAAAGUCCGUCCGGUUGACGAUUCCCAACCGCGAUGACGUCGCCCGCUUGCGGACUACGCCCGCCAUGGCUAAACAUUCAAAGGGAUUGCCCGGGGUCCCCGCGCAAGCAGCGCAUCCGUGUGGUGCAAGGUCGAUGUAAGCGUCGAAGAGCCCUGCCCGCGGUCUGUCAUUCAGGGUGGUAAGAGAGCGAAAAGCAGCACGUACCUUCGCGGAGCCUGAACAGGUGUUACAUGGCUGUCGUCAGCUCGUGUCGUGAGAUGUUCGGCUAAGUCCCCUAACGAGCGCAACCCUCAUCGUAUGUUACAAGGGUCAUAUGAGACCUCCGGUAUCAAUCCGGAGGAAGGUGGGGAUGACGUCAAGUCAGCAUGGCCUUUAUAUCCGGGGCUACACACACGCUACAAUGGCUGGUACAAUGGUUUGUUAAGAGGGGAGGCCGGGCCCCUACCCAAAACUUUUGGUAANUCGUGGCCCAGGAGGCAAAUNCUAAAGACAUCGNACACUAUAAAGAAU
This 526-nucleotide ribosomal RNA is filed under the name uncultured bacterium. RNAcentral describes it as "bacterial SSU rRNA". It matches the Rfam family "Bacterial small subunit ribosomal RNA", at positions 818 to 1299 of the family's 1533-position model. The record is from RNAcentral.